This 300-nucleotide ribosomal RNA is filed under the name uncultured Thermosipho sp. RNAcentral's name for it is "bacterial SSU rRNA". It matches the Rfam family "Bacterial small subunit ribosomal RNA", at positions 496 to 795 of the family's 1533-position model. Lineage: Bacteria; Thermotogati; Thermotogota; Thermotogae; Thermotogales; Fervidobacteriaceae. The record is from RNAcentral.
GUGAACGUGGGGCCAGGGGGCAGGGUAAUACGAAGGGGGCGAGCGGUGUUCGGAAUCACUGGGCGUAAAGCGCACGUAGGCGGAUGUGUCAGUCAGGGGUGAAAUCCCGGAGCUCAACUUCGGAACUGCCUUUGAUACAGCACGGCGUGAGUCCGGAAGAGGUGGGUGGAAUUCCUAGUGUAGAGGUGAAAUUCGUAGAUAUUAGGAAGAACACCGGUGGCGAAGGCGGCCCACUGGUCCGGUACUGACGCUGAGGUGCGAAAGCGUGGGGAGCAAACAGGAUUAGAUACCCGGGUAGUC